Molecule: long non-coding RNA, 3689 nt
Filed under: Marmota monax (woodchuck)
Lineage: Eukaryota; Metazoa; Chordata; Mammalia; Rodentia; Sciuridae
Source: RNAcentral
CUUACCCGCAUGGCCCGGGGGUACAGCAGGGCUGUCCCAGAGCUGAUGUGGAUGCUCUCCUGCUAGAGAAGACGCUGUGCCACACGCAGGCGCUGCCUGGUGCCUGGGUCGUGGGGCAGUCAGCUGGAGGUUGCCGGAACAACAGCUGCUUUCCCUGCAACCCCAAGUACUGGCUGAGGCUCUCGGAACCCAGCGAGCUGUGUGUGGCUGUUCUGCAGAGACCCAGGAAGCACCCAGCAGGCAGGGCCCGGGCUCUGGUGGGCUGUGGCCCUGCCCCAUCAAGCCUCCUGGGCAAGGAUCACCAGGUCAAGGACUACCAGGCCGUGGGCCUGCACAUCUGGAAGGUAACUGUCACCCCGCCCACCCCCGCAGUGGCUGUGGGGACCAGGCCUGCUUUUGGCACUCUGCCAGGGGCCCUGUCUCUCACCUCCUUGGGCUGCCAUGGACCCAGCUGAGCUGAGGCCCUGUGCCUCACUGGCCAGAGAAGAACAGGGCAACAGCCAGAGGGGGGCCACAGGAGCUGCCCACGGGCCCUGCUCUCGGCCGUGCUCUCCAGCACAGUGAGCGGAACCACUCAGGAGAGGAGCUGCUUCCGUCCUGCAGACGACCCUCUGACUCCUCCCUGGCUCCUUCCCCUGCUUUGUGGGGAUCGUGAUGCUGAUCUUUGACCUCUUGGGACUGUUCUGAGGCUUUUGUCACACUCAGCCACUAGAUCCUAAACUGGCUGUUUCCUGGAAGACUGGCUGGGCUGGGCGCUGCUGCCCGUCUGCCUGCCCAGUGGCUGUGUCCUCAUGGGCUGGGAGCUGACACUGCCCUUUGUGGGCAGACCUGCAUUAUGGUUCUUUCCUCUUACGAAGGAGGGGCUGAGCCCUUUCCCAUAGUCCCCCAGCUAUGCUGGCCAGGGGCCUUUGGGGGCACAGCCCUGUGUAGAUUUGUUUGUUUUCUUCUUGACCCUGGUGACAGGGCUCUGGGAAGCCUUGGGUCUGGCUUUUCCAGUUGGCCCUUGAGAGGAUGAGGGUGCGGAUGGACUUUGACCUGCUAGCUUGAGAGGCCUUCCUGCUGAGCAGGGAGCAGAGAGCUGGGUGCUGGGCGCUCUCCCACUGACCUCUGCCUGCCCUCUGCAGGUGGAGAAACGGCGGGUCAGCCUGCCCAGAAUCCUGUCCACACCGCCUGUGGCUGGCACUGUGUGUCAUGCAUAUGACCGAGAGGUCCAUCUACACUGUGAGCUCCCCCCUGGCUACUACCUGGCUGUCCCCAGCACCUUCCUGAAGGACAUGCCAGGGCAGUUCCUGCUCCGAGUUUUCUCCACAGGCAAAGUCUCCCUCAGGUGAGGAGCCAGUGGCAGCUGUGAGCAAGGGUUCAUCCGGGGAUGGGACUCUGGUGGCUGCCCUGGUUGGGCACAGUCCUCAGACAGGCUGCUAGCACCCUCCUCCGCUCGUCCCUCCACAGUGCUGUCAGGCCAGCAGCCAAGGGCGCCUCCCCUGGGGCAGCCCUGCCCUCCGGCGAGUGGGAGACCCUGCAGCUGCGGGGCUGCUGGAGAGCAGGCCGGACAGCAGGGGGCAGCAGGAACUUCGCCUCCUACCUCUGCAACCCCUGCCUCCCUUUCUCGGUCCCCGAGGGCUCCAGUCCCCGAUGCAUCCGAAUCACCCUGCACCAGCACUGCCCGCUCAGUGACAGCCAGCUGCAUCCCAUUGGCUUUCAUGUCUUCCAGGUGGGCUCCUCAGCAAGGGACAGGUACGGGGAGGCCCAGGCAACCCAUGUCUGUCCCAUGUUGUCCCAGUAAUCAGCUGCCUGGGAGGCAGAGCCUGGGCUCAGUUGGGCACAUCAGCCCAGCUGGCUGGUCUCAUGGGAGGCUGGUCUCUAGGUUUCUAAGGCUGUAUUUGCUGGGGUCAGCUCAGAUGGCCCUUGGCCACUCACCCUGGCUCGGAACAUCUGUGUCCUGAGGUCAAUUCUCCCCAGAGCAUGCCCCCUACCCCAGGAUCCUGGACCCUGGAGGCUGCUCAGGGGAUUCUGGGCAGACACCCAGCCUCACCAUGGAUCUGGCCCCAGCCAGCAAUUUCAGAGAAGCCCUACCCACUGGUGCAACAGGGAGUGAACACACCCAGGAGCCACCCAGGUCAUACCACCUGCCCCUCCCAUGUCACUGAGCGCCCUGGGUGGGACUGGCAAGAGCUGCACCCCAGUGGGGGGCAGUGGAAGUCAGAGCAGCGAUGGCCUGGUCUGGAAGAAGGGGUGUGUGGGGCCAGAGGAGCAGACAGUGGGGUGAGCUGCUCCCGCAACCAGCAGGCAGAGGAGAGGUGGGGGUGCCCUCAGGGAGGCCAGCAGCCCGAGGGUGCCCCUGGAGCUACCGGAGCCUGCAGCUGGGGUCAGCCCUGCACAGGUGAGUCGGGAAGGAGGCAGCCGGGCAAAGUGAUAGUCGCCCCAGUGUCAUUCCAGAGGGCGGCGCAUCAGUCCAGGUCAGCCCUGGGAGGGGUAGGGUCAGGAAGCAGAGGUCAUGCCAAGGGACCUCGCCAUGGGCCAUUCUGGUGACACUGCUGCUCAUGCUUAGCCAUUCCUGCAGGUGGAGGUGGCUCAGGCUCCUGCCAGGGAAGGGCUGAUCAGACCUCACCCGGUGCCUUCCUCAGCCCGGCUCUGUCCUGCCCCUGCUAUAGCCAGCCAGGGGAGGCACACUUAGCAGAUCUGGAGGGGGAGGGAGAGUUCAUGUCUCAGGGUCACAGGCCCUGAGUUCUGUGGGGACAGUUCUGGGGCUCCCAGCCCACACGGAGCUGUGCUUGUCCUGGGAGGACAAUGGCUGAGGAUGUCCUGGGCUAUAGCUGGUGGGAACACAUGGCCUGGCAAGCAGUGACCAAGAGAAGAGAGCGGGAUUUCUGGUAAGAGGGUCGGUGCCUCCCCCGGAGGAGCCACUGAGCCCAGAGAGCUGAGGAAGACACUGGGACCUUGCCCGGUGCUGCGUGCUGUGUGGGCCACCAGGAAGGAGCUCAGACCAAAAUGCCAGUGCCCAGGGGCUGCUGGCCAGAGCACUCUGGGUUGGGGUCUGGGCAGUGGUACGUGCCGACCACAGAGCUGAUCUGAGGUUCUUGGGCUUGGUGCCACUGCCAGGGCCUUCUGGCAAGGGUGGUCCAACUUCAGUGGGAGGGAGGUUCAGUGUGUGGGCCUGGCACUUGCUCCCCAGAAAAGGGGUGCAUGUGAUUCAGGAGGGCCAGGCAUCAGCAUCUUGGGAUCCAGCAGACUCCAGCUGCUGCUGCCUGGGCAGUGCCCCCAUCCAUACAGCCGCCUCAGGCUGAGCCCUGCACCCUCCAGGUCCCUGCAGGUGGCGAGAGGCAGGGUGCAGGCCCCCUGCUGCUCCAGGAGCCACUGCUGAGCUGUGUGCCACAUCGCUAUGCCCAGGAGGUGAGCCGGCUCUGCCUGCUGUCUGCGGGCACCUACAGGGUCGUGCCCUCCACCUACUGGCCUGACACCGAGGGCUCCUUCAUGGUGACCAUAGCAACCAGAGUGGACAGGUGCGGCUCUGGGCCUUGGGAUGACCAGCAGGUGUUCUUGGCCCUGAGCACUCAGCAGCCUUCCCCGUCUGGUUCUCUGCUGACCCAAGGCAUGAAUGGGCCUGCUUGCCUGGCUGAGCUGGGAGGAGGGUCUGGUGAGAGGCCAGCCGGGAGCAGGUGGCCCCCGGUGAGCUGCCCUCUCUCCACAGG